GUCGCGUCGUCUGUGAAAUUCCGGGGCUUAACUCCGGGCGUGCAGGCGAUACGGGCAUAACUUGAGUACUGUAGGGGUAACUGGAAUUCCUGGUGUAGCGGUGAAAUGCGCAGAUAUCAGGAGGAACACCGAUGGCGAAGGCAGGUUACUGGGCAGUUACUGACGCUGAGGAGCGAAAGCAUGGGUAGCGAACAGGAUUAGAUACCCUGGUAGUCCAUGCCGUAAACGGUGGGUGCUAGGUGUGAGGGUCUUUUCACGACUUUCGUGCCGUAGCUAACGCAUUAAGCGCCCCGCCUGGGGAGUACGGCCGCAAGGCUAAAACUCAAAGGAAUUGACGGGGGCCCGCACAAGCGGCGGAGCAUGUGGAUUAAUUCGAUGCAACGCGAAGAACCUUACCUGGGCUUGACAUACACUGGAUCGCUGCAGAGAUGUAGUUUCCCUUUGUGGCUGGUGUACAGGUGGUGCAUGGUUGUCGUCAGCUCGUGUCGUGAGAUGUUGGGUUAAGUCCCGCAACGAGCGCAACCCUUGUCUUAUGUUGCCAGCAUUUGGUUGGGGACUCAUGAGAGACUGCCGGGGUCAACUCGGAGGAAGGUGGGGAUGACGUCAAAUCAUCAUGCCCCUUAUGUCCAGGGCUUCACACAUGCUACAAUGGUCGGUACAACGCGCAGCGACACUGUGAGGUGGAGCGAAUCGCUGAAAGCCGGCCUUAGUUCGGAUUGGGGUCUGCAACUCGACCCCAUGAAGU
Molecule: ribosomal RNA, 745 nt
Filed under: uncultured bacterium
Lineage: Bacteria
Description: bacterial SSU rRNA
Rfam family: Bacterial small subunit ribosomal RNA
Source: RNAcentral